Molecule: ribosomal RNA, 792 nt
Filed under: uncultured bacterium
Lineage: Bacteria
Description: bacterial SSU rRNA
Rfam family: Bacterial small subunit ribosomal RNA
Source: RNAcentral
AGAGUUUGAUCAUGGCUCAGAAUGAACGCUGGCGGCAUGCCUAACACAUGCAAGUCGAACGAAGGCUUCGGCCUUAGUGGCGCACGGGUGCGUAACGCGUGGGAAUCUGCCCUCAGGUUCGGAAUAACAGCGAGAAAUUGCUGCUAAUACCGGAUGAUAUCGCGAGAUCAAAGAUUUAUCGCCUGAGGAUGAGCCCGCGUAGGAUUAGCUAGUUGGUGUGGUAAAGGCGCACCAAGGCGACGAUCCUUAGCUGGUCUGAGAGGAUGAUCAGCCACACUGGGACUGAGACACGGCCCAGACUCCUACGGGAGGCAGCAGUGGGGAAUAUUGGACAAUGGGCGAAAGCCUGAUCCAGCAAUGCCGCGUGAGUGAUGAAGGCCUUAGGGUUGUAAAGCUCUUUUACCCGGGAUGAUAAUGACAGUACCGGGAGAAUAAGCUCCGGCUAACUCCGUGCCAGCAGCCGCGGUAAUACGGAGGGAGCUAGCGUUAUUCGGAAUUACUGGGCGUAAAGCGCACGUAGGCGGCUUUGUAAGUUAGAGGUGAAAGCCUGGAGCUCAACUCCAGAAUUGCCUUUAAGACUGCAUCGCUUGAAUCCAGGAGAGGUGAGUGGAAUUCCGAGUGUAGAGGUGAAAUUCGUAGAUAUUCGGAAGAACACCAGUGGCGAAGGCGGCUCACUGGACUGGUAUUGACGCUGAGGUGCGAAAGCGUGNGGAGCAAACAGGAUUAGAUACCCUGGUAGUCCACGCCGUANACGAUGAUAACUAGCUGUCGGGGCUCUUAGAGCUUCGGUGG